AGAGUUUGAUCCUGGCUCAGGAUGAACGCUGGCGGCGUGCUUAACACAUGCAAGUCGAGCGGAACUUUAUAGUGAAUCCCCUUCGGGGGUGAAGCUGUAAAGUUUAGCGGCGGACGGGUGCGUAACGCGUGGGUAAUCUGCCCUUGUCACUGGGAUAACACAUCGAAAGGUGUGCUAAUACCGGAUGAAAUACAGACUCGGCAUCGAGAUUGUAUCAAAGUCAUGCGGACAAGGAUGAGCCUGCGUCUGAUUAGCUUGUUGGUGGGGUAAAAGCCUACCAAGGCGACGAUCAGUAGCCGACCUGAGAGGGUGAUCGGCCACACUGGAACUGAGACACGGUCCAGACUCCUACGGGAGGCAGCAGUGGGGAAUAUUGCACAAUGGGCGCAAGCCUGAUGCAGCAACGCCGCGUGAGUGAUGAAGGCCCUCGGGUCGUAAAACUCUGUCCUAAGGGAAGAUAAUGACGGUACCUUAGGAGGAAGCCCCGGCUAACUACGUGCCAGCAGCCGCGGUAAU
Molecule: ribosomal RNA, 516 nt
Filed under: uncultured bacterium
Lineage: Bacteria
Description: bacterial SSU rRNA
Rfam family: Bacterial small subunit ribosomal RNA
Source: RNAcentral